RNAcentral lists this ribosomal RNA (657 nucleotides) under Phytophthora palmivora. RNAcentral describes it as "eukaryotic LSU rRNA". The stretch from base 270 to 424 matches the Rfam family "5.8S ribosomal RNA". Lineage: Eukaryota; Oomycota; Peronosporomycetes; Peronosporales; Peronosporaceae. The record is from RNAcentral.
GUGAAGGUGAAGUCGUAACAAGGUUUCCGUAGGUGAACCUGCGGAAGGAUCAUUACCACACCUAAAAACUUUCCACGUGAACCGUAUCAAAACUUAGUUGGGGGUCUCUUUCGGCGGCGGCUGCUGGCUUCAUUGCUGGCGGCUGCUGUUGGGAGAGCUCUAUCAUGGCGAGCGUUUGGGCUUCGGUCUGAACUAGUAGCUUUUUUAAACCCAUUCUUUAUAACUGAUUAUACUGUAGGGACGAAAGUCUCUGCUUUUAACUAGAUAGCAACUUUCAGCAGUGGAUGUCUAGGCUCGCACAUCGAUGAAGAACGCUGCGAACUGCGAUACGUAAUGCGAAUUGCAGGAUUCAGUGAGUCAUCGAAAUUUUGAACGCAUAUUGCACUUCCGGGUUAGUCCUGGGAGUAUGCCUGUAUCAGUGUCCGUACAUCAAACUUGGUUUUCUUCCUUCCGUGUAGUCGGUGGUGGAUGUGCCAGAUGUGAAGUGUCUUGCGGCUGGUCUUCGGAUCGGCUGUGAGUCCUUUGAAAUGUACUGAACUGUACUUCUCUUUGCUCCAAAAGCGUGGCGUUGCUGAUUGUGGAGGCUGCUUGCGUAGCCAGUCUGGCGACCAGUUUGUCUUGCUGUGGCCGUUAAUGGAGGAAGUGUUCGAUUCGCGG